This 492-nucleotide ribosomal RNA is filed under the name uncultured bacterium. RNAcentral describes it as "partial 16S ribosomal RNA". It matches the Rfam family "Bacterial small subunit ribosomal RNA", at positions 29 to 507 of the family's 1533-position model. The record is from RNAcentral.
AGUGAACGCUGGCGGUAGGCCUAACACAUGCAAGUCGAACGGCAGCACAGUAAGAGCUUGCUCUUACGGGUGGCGAGUGGCGGACGGGUGAGGAAUACAUCGGAAUCUACUUUUUCGUGGGGGAUAACGUAGGGAAACUUACGCUAAUACCGCAUACGACCUACGGGUGAAAGCAGGGGAUCUUCGGACCUUGCGCGAUUGAAUGAGCCGAUGUCGGAUUAGCUAGUUGGCGGGGUAAAGGCCCACCAAGGCGACGAUCCGUAGCUGGUCUGAGAGGAUGAUCAGCAACACUGGAACUGAGACACGGUCCAGACGCCUACGGGAGGCAGCAGUGGGGAAUAUUGGACAAUGGGCGCAAGCCUGAUCCAGCCAUACCGCGUGGGUGAAGAAGGCCUUCGGGUUGUAAAGCCCUUUUGUUGGGAAAGAAAAGCAGCAGGUUAAUACCCCGCUGUUCUGACGGUACCCAAAGAAUAAGCACCGGCUAACUUCGUG